AUUGAACGCUAGCGGGAUGCUUUACACAUGCAAGUCGAACGAGUGGCGGACGGGUGAGUAAUAUCUCGGAACGUGCCCAGUAGCGGGGGAUAACUACUCGAAACGGUGGCUAAUACCGCAUACCAUCGGAGCGGCCGAUAUGGGAUUAGCUAGUUGGUGGGGUAACGGCUCACCAAGGCGACGAUCCGUAGCUGGUCUGAGAGGAUGACCAGCCACACUGGAACGGAGACACGGCCCAGACUCCUACGGGAGGCAGCAGUGGGGAAUUUUGGACAAUGGGGGAAACCCUGAUCCAGCCAUCCCGCGUGUAUGAGAAGGCCUUCGGGUUGUAAAGUACUUUUGGCAGAGAAGCGGUAUCUGCAGAAGAAGCACCGGCUAACUACGUGCCAGCAGCCGCGGUAAUAC
This 405-nucleotide ribosomal RNA is filed under the name uncultured bacterium. Its description in RNAcentral is "partial 16S ribosomal RNA". It matches the Rfam family "Bacterial small subunit ribosomal RNA", at positions 30 to 526 of the family's 1533-position model. The record is from RNAcentral.